RNAcentral lists this long non-coding RNA (235 nucleotides) under Homo sapiens (human). RNAcentral's name for it is "non-protein coding LINC01128:79". The record is from RNAcentral. Lineage: Eukaryota; Metazoa; Chordata; Mammalia; Primates; Hominidae.
CGCCGGUUGAAAGCGCGUGUCUGCGUCGGGUUCUGUUGGAGUGCGUUCGGUGCGCCGUGGGUCCGCGCUGCUUCCACCCAACUUCCUGUUAGUUUCUCUCCUGUCACAAUGGCAUGAUCUCGGCUCACUGCGACCUCUGCUUCCUGGGUUCAAGGAUUCUCCUGCCUCAGCCUCCCAAGUAGCUGGGAUUACAGAUGACCGCCGUGUGGUAAACUGAUGAACCCCGACCCUGAUG